This 402-nucleotide ribosomal RNA is filed under the name uncultured bacterium. RNAcentral describes it as "partial 16S ribosomal RNA". It matches the Rfam family "Bacterial small subunit ribosomal RNA", at positions 30 to 526 of the family's 1533-position model. The record is from RNAcentral.
AUUGAACGCUGGCGGCAGGCCUAACACAUGCAAGUCGAACGAGUGGGGACGGGUGAGUAACACGUGGGUAACCUCCCAUCAGAGGGGAGAACACUUGGAAACAGGUGCUAAACCGAUAUUGAGGGCUGGACCCGCGGUGCAUUGUCUAGUUGGUGCGGUAACGGCUCACCAAGGACACGAUGCAUAGCCGACCUGGGAGGGUGAUCGGCCACACUGGGACUGAGACACGGCCCAGACUCCUACGGGAGGCAGCAGUAGGGAAUCUUCGGCAAUGGACGAAAGUCUGACCGAGCAACGCCGCGGGAGUGAAGAAGGUUUUCGGAUCGUAAAGCUCUGUUGUUAGAGAAGCGGUAUCUAACCAGAAAGCCACGGCUAACUACGUGCCAGCCGCCGCGGUAAUUC